UACGGAGGAUCCGAGCGUUAUCCGGAUUUAUUGGGUUUAAAGGGAGCGUAGGCGGACGUUUAAGUCAGUUGUGAAAGUUUGCGGCUCAACCGUAAAAUUGCAGUUGAUACUGGACGUCUUGAGUGCAGUAUAGGUGGGCGGAAUUCGUGGUGUAGCGGUGAAAUGCUUAGAUAUCACGAAGAACUCCGAUUGCGAAGGCAGCUCACUGGAGUGUCACUGACGCUGAUGCUCGAAAGUGUGGGUAUCAAACAGG
RNAcentral lists this ribosomal RNA (253 nucleotides) under uncultured bacterium. Its description in RNAcentral is "partial 16S ribosomal RNA". It matches the Rfam family "Bacterial small subunit ribosomal RNA", at positions 524 to 776 of the family's 1533-position model. The record is from RNAcentral.